GAGGGAGGGGGGGUCCUAUAACCGUUCAGACGAUGAAGAGCCGUUCAGGGUGAGGACCGGUAUAUCACCUUCGGCAUCUUAAGGAUGCUUUCCAUCAAACUAGGGCUCCCAUCCACUUUUUAUCAUCCACACGUCUUACAAGGGGGAAUAUUUUUUAUUGGUCUGAAUAGGAAAGUGCAGCGAAGCUGCCUUGUACCCAGAAGGGCAGGGCAUCUGAACCAGAUUUUGGGGGUGGGAGUUUUGGGUGACAUUUGGGGGCGGCGUUUUAAUUUUAGCC
This 277-nucleotide long non-coding RNA is filed under the name Physcomitrium patens. Its description in RNAcentral is "long non-coding RNA (PPAT_LNC007544)". The record is from RNAcentral. Lineage: Eukaryota; Viridiplantae; Streptophyta; Bryopsida; Funariales; Funariaceae.